CUCCGAGCCAGCCUCCGGGGCUCGGAACCUGGAACGCCACCGUGCCGGGGUGGGGGGUGGCCUGGCCGCGAUGCCCAGCCUGGGACGAAAGUACGUUGCUGCCAUUCAAGGCGACCGGGCUGAGGCUCCCAGAUGGUAAGACAAAUUAAGAACUUAGCCCACAGCAGAUCAACCGACUUCUUAGGAAUCAAGGAUCAAGACCAGAGUAUUUCCUAAGAAAGCUUCCUUGGAUGUUGCAACAAGGGAGCAGAGCCAUUUGCACACCUGGACAAAUCAGAAGGAUCGUUUUCAGCCUUUCUACCUUGUUUAAGAAACAUGUACACACAGCAAUUGCUUUCAUCCAUGCAUCGUUGGUAUCCAUAAGAAAAUUCAUCAUGUGUGAACGAGCUAUAAGUACCAGAUCCAGGAACUAGAUGGUUCUCUUUUUGAGUCUAAUUGGGUAAAAAUGAGUAAGUAACUGUGACCAAUUCUCAAUAAACAUUACCUAUUGACCAUCUUA
Non-coding RNA from Rattus norvegicus (Norway rat), 499 nucleotides. The record is from RefSeq and is a predicted model, not a curated record. NCBI's taxonomy places the organism in Eukaryota, Metazoa, Chordata, Mammalia, Rodentia, Muridae.